GGUCGAUUAGCUCAGUUGGUUAGAGCGUGGUGCUAAUAGCUUCUGCUUGACACGCCAAGGUCGCGGGUAUGUUAUCUCACACACCAUCGCAGUUACGCAAAUACUAAUAUCAAUCAGGUUCGACCCCCGUAUUGACCA
Non-coding RNA from Ophiobolus disseminans, 138 nucleotides. The record is from the annotation of a GenBank genome assembly. Lineage: Eukaryota; Fungi; Ascomycota; Dothideomycetes; Pleosporales; Phaeosphaeriaceae.